RNAcentral lists this ribosomal RNA (551 nucleotides) under uncultured Acaulospora. RNAcentral describes it as "SSU rRNA". It matches the Rfam family "Eukaryotic small subunit ribosomal RNA", at positions 548 to 1098 of the family's 1831-position model. The record is from RNAcentral. Lineage: Eukaryota; Fungi; Glomeromycota; Glomeromycetes; Diversisporales; Acaulosporaceae.
UUGGAGGGCAAGUCUGGUGCCAGCAGCCGCGGUAAUUCCAGCUCCAAUAGCGUAUAUUAAAGUUGUUGCAGUUAAAAAGCUCGUAGUUGAAUUUCGGAAUCUGUCCGUCGGUCGGGCUUCACUGUCCGUACUGGUGUGAUGGGUUUCUACCUUCUGAAUAACCGGCAUGUCAUUAAUUUGGUGCGCCGGGGAAGCAGAACUAUUACCUUGAAAAAAUUAGAGUGCUUAAAGCAGGCUAUCGCCUGAAUAGAUUAGCAUGGAAUAAUAAAAUAGGACGGCAUGGUUCUAUUUUGUUGGUUUCUAGGAUCACCGUAAUGAUUAAUAGGGAUAGCUGGGGGCAUUAGUAUUCAAUUGUCAGAGGUGAAAUUCUUGGAUUUAUUGAAGACUAACUUCUGCGAAAGCAUUCGCCAAGGAUGUUUUCAUUAAUCAAGAACGAAAGUUAGGGGAUCGAAGACGAUCAGAUACCGUCGUAGUCUUAACCAUAAACUAUGCCGACUAGGGAUCGGACGAUGUUAAUUUUUUAAUGACUCGUUCGGCGCCUUACGGGAAAC